GGGGGAAGAGGGAAGAAAGGGGGAAAAAAAGAGGAAGCAAAGAAGAGUGAGAGAUGAAGGUUGUCGGAUCGUAAAGCUCUGUCUUUGGGGAAGAUAAUGACGGUACCCAAGGAGGAAGCCACGGCUAACUACGUGCCAGCAGCCGCGGUAAUACGUAGGUGGCGAGCGUUAUCCGGAUUUACUGGGCGUAAAGGGAGCGUAGGCGGAUGAUUAAGUGGGAUGUGAAAUACCCGGGCUCAACUUGGGUGCUGCAUUCCAAACUGGUUAUCUAGAGUGCAGGAGAGGAGAGUGGAAUUCCUAGUGUAGCGGUGAAAUGCGUAGAGAUUAGGAAGAACACCAGUGGCGAAGGCGACUCUCUGGACUGUAACUGACGCUGAGGCUCGAAAGCGUGGGGAGCAAACA
This 402-nucleotide ribosomal RNA is filed under the name uncultured prokaryote. RNAcentral's name for it is "bacterial SSU rRNA". It matches the Rfam family "Bacterial small subunit ribosomal RNA", at positions 344 to 774 of the family's 1533-position model. The record is from RNAcentral.